CUUUUAGCGUACAUAUAGCGUACACUAAUUCAUUUUCCGACGUGAAACAAGUGGACUCAUAAUCCAUUGGUCCGGGGUUCAAGUCCCUGAGGGCCCA
This 97-nucleotide transfer RNA is filed under the name Fidelibacterota bacterium. Its description in RNAcentral is "tRNA-Met". The record is from RNAcentral. Lineage: Bacteria; Pseudomonadati; Fidelibacterota.